This is a long non-coding RNA of Salvia splendens (bonfire salvia), 1397 nucleotides long. RefSeq lists it as uncharacterized. Lineage: Eukaryota; Viridiplantae; Streptophyta; Magnoliopsida; Lamiales; Lamiaceae. The transcript is spliced from 2 exons. The record is from RefSeq and is a predicted model, not a curated record.
UUUUAUGGAACCAACUUCACCUCUUUCAUUUAUCAACCGUUUUCCCCUUGAUUUCACAUCUUCAAAUAUCCGAUAGAUUAUAGAUUACUAACUCUAGAUCACCAAUUUCUUAUACGCAUCAAUGAAUGAGACCAUACCUACAUGAUUUCGGAGAAUUCUAGAAAGCGGCUCGGAAGUGAAGAUAGAUAUGGUGAGUGGUUUCCAUGCUAAGCUUGUCAACUAAGUAGUCUCCGUUGCUGUUAUCUUUUGUUUCGUUGUCUGUUCGACCUUAUAAUUUGCUUGUGAAAACCCUAGUUUUACUCUCCCUAUUUAUUUUUUGAAAAUUAUUUUAUAAACCUAAUUUUUUUAGGAUUUGUGUUUAGAGCCAUGAUAUGAAGCUAUUUAAUAAUACUUAUAAUCGAGAUGCAGGGAAUAUAUAUGAAAGAGUGAAAUAUGUGUAUAUAUUAAGCACUAAUAUAUUUUGUUUUGUUUAGUUUUAUUAUUUUAGCAUCAUGAAAACUAUUGAUAUUCUCUCUUUUUUGCUUAUGAUCUUAGAAGAUAGCAUUAGUAUAACUUUUUUUGAAUGAAAGGCUAGAAAAAUGUUGAAUAACUAUUUUUACAGUGUAAUGAUCAAUGAUUUCACACUACUUUCAAAUUAGUUUGCAAGCGAGCCUAUGAAUAGCUAUGAUAUUUUUUGCUCCCUCGAAAACAAAAUUAGGUAAAAUAAAUGUUUUUAUUGGCCUUAAAAGCCGAUUAUACAUAAGUAUAAUCAAAUUUAUAUCAUGUUUAACUUAUUAUAAGGUCGAAUAGACAACAAACCAAAAGCAUAACAAGGCAAGGACUACUAAUUUGCCAAGACUUUGCAUGGAAAUCAACACCUUAAUUUAGCAUUACAAGGAAGGUAUAUAUAUCUAAAGCUUCAACAGUCAAGAUUGCGUGGUUUCUGCUUAAUUAAUCGACGGCUGAGAUUGUACAAAAUGACCAACUCAAGAGUGCUCGUUUUCACAACUCAACUGAACUCAAUGGUCACCACUCCAUGGGCCACCUCUUCAAGUUCUCGUUGGUCACGGCCACCAUUGGUCAUGGCGGGUUCUUUGACCGGCCACCACUGCGAGCCGUUUGGGCUCUCAAUGAAAGCACCAAUGAUAUAGAGCAAAUAGAAGAAUUCAGUCCAAAAGACUAUUAUGAGAGAAACUAUUUAGUCUAUGUACUCUACACCAGCUAUUCUCACAACCGAUGUGGGACAUUGAGUAUGUAAUAGAUGAAGACCAAGAUUCAUAAAACAAUGGUUCGAAAGCCUAGCUUGUUACACUUUGAAGCUAACAUUUGUUGAGUGUUUUGGUGUGAGGUUCUAGUUUAGAGUAGAAUGUGUCGCUUCUCUUAUUUACUCUUUUUUGCUUGUCUACUUUUUUUUGUUA